This 68-nucleotide transfer RNA is filed under the name Halicryptus spinulosus. RNAcentral describes it as "transfer RNA-Trp". It matches the Rfam family "tRNA". From Rfam's summary of the family: Transfer RNA (tRNA) molecules are approximately 80 nucleotides in length. Lineage: Eukaryota; Metazoa; Priapulida; Priapulimorpha; Priapulimorphida; Priapulidae. The record is from RNAcentral.
GAAAUUUUAGGUUAAUUAAACUUUUAGCCUUCAAAGCUAAUAAUAGGGGUUAAAACCCUUAAAUUUUA